UGGGGAAUAUUGCACAAUGGGCGAAAGCCUGAUGCAGCGACGCCGCGUGAGGGAUGACGGCCUUCGGGUUGUAAACCUCUUUCAGCAGGGAAGAAGCGAAAGUGACGGUACCUGCAGAAGAAGCACCGGCUAACUACGUGCCAGCAGCCGCGGUAAUACGUAGGGUGCGAGCGUUGUCCGGAAUUAUUGGGCGUAAAGAGCUUGUAGGCGGUUUGUCGCGUCUGCCGUGAAAAUCCGGGGCUCAACCCCGGACUUGCGGUGGGUACGGGCAGACUAGAGUGUGGUAGGGGAGACUGGAAUUCCUGGUGUAGCGGUGAAAUGCGCAGAUAUCAGGAGGAACACCGAUGGCGAAGGCAGGUCUCUGGGCCACUACUGACGCUGAGAAGCGAAAGCGUGGGGAGCGAACA
Molecule: ribosomal RNA, 407 nt
Filed under: uncultured Intrasporangiaceae bacterium
Lineage: Bacteria; Bacillati; Actinomycetota; Actinomycetes; Micrococcales; Intrasporangiaceae
Description: partial 16S ribosomal RNA
Rfam family: Bacterial small subunit ribosomal RNA
Source: RNAcentral